Molecule: ribosomal RNA, 253 nt
Filed under: uncultured bacterium
Lineage: Bacteria
Description: partial 16S ribosomal RNA
Rfam family: Archaeal small subunit ribosomal RNA
Source: RNAcentral
UACCAGCCCCCCGAGUGGUCAGGACGAUUAUUGGGCCUAAAGCCUCCGUAGCCGGUUUUACAAGUCCUCCGUUAAAUCCAGCUGCUUAACAGAUGGGCUGCGGAGGAUACUAUAAGACUAGGAGGCAGGAGAGGCAAGCGGUACUCAGUGGGUAGGGGUAAAAUCCGUUGAUCCAUUGAAGACCACCAGUGGCGAAGGCGGCUUGCCAGAAUGCGCUCGACGGUGAGGGAUGAAAGCUGGGGGAGCAAACCGG